GUGCUGCCUGCUUUCCAGUGGCUGAAUACAAUUGUUUCGUAUAUCCUGUUAAUUUGUGUUACUUGUAUACAGCAGGAUGCCAAAGGCAAUUGGAUUCUACGAAGUGAUCACGUCACAGAGAAGCUGCCGAUAGAGGUGGAGAGAGCCACACAGAGAGCCGCCUGCCUCGGCUGCCUGCUCUUCCCCUGAUUCUGCCAUGAGCCCCAUAUUCACCUACUUCACAAUCCUUUGUCUCCUGGCUGCAAGUUCUCCCGGUGAAGAAGUCACCCAGACUCCAAAACAUCUUGUCAAAGGGGAAGGACAGAAAGCAAAAUUAUAUUGUGCCCCAAUAAAAGGAUACAGUUACUUUUUUUGGUACCAACGGGUCCUGAAAAAAGAGUUCAAGUUCUUGAUUUCCUUCCAGAAUGAAAAUGUCUUUGAUGAAACAGGGAUGCCCAAGGAAAGAUUUUCUGCUAAGUGCCCCCCAAAUUCACCCUGUAGCCUUGAGAUCCAGGCUACGAAGCUGAAGGAUUCAGCAGCGUAUUUUUGUGCCAGCAGCCAAUCCACAGUGUUAAAUAUUAGCUAAUCUUAGGGCACAAACUCAUCACAGACCCAGCUCAGGAAGCAGGUGGUGUACUAGGUUGGAAGGAAAUAACAGAAACUAGAGCUAGCUUAAGCCAAAGGGGAAUGUAUUAUAAGGCUAAAUGUAUGUCCCAUAGAACCGCAAAGCAAGAACACAGGAACUUCCCAGAAAUAAACUGCAAU
This is a non-coding RNA of Macaca mulatta (Rhesus monkey), 744 nucleotides long. NCBI's taxonomy places the organism in Eukaryota, Metazoa, Chordata, Mammalia, Primates, Cercopithecidae. The record is from the annotation of a RefSeq genome assembly.